This 67-nucleotide transfer RNA is filed under the name Orthotrichia sp. XG-2021. RNAcentral's name for it is "tRNA-Gln". Lineage: Eukaryota; Metazoa; Arthropoda; Insecta; Trichoptera; Hydroptilidae. The record is from RNAcentral.
UAUAUAUUAGUGUAUUUGCACAAAAAUUUUUGAUAUUUUUAGAUUUAGUUAAUUCUAAAAUAUAUAA